Molecule: transfer RNA, 75 nt
Filed under: Bacteroidota bacterium
Lineage: Bacteria; Pseudomonadati; Bacteroidota
Description: Bacteroidetes bacterium tRNA-Cys
Rfam family: tRNA
About the family: Transfer RNA (tRNA) molecules are approximately 80 nucleotides in length. Their secondary structure includes four short double-helical elements and three loops (D, anti-codon, and T loops).
Source: RNAcentral
CGGCCCGUAGCAGAGUGCUACAUGCACCGGACUGCAAAUCCGGGGACGAGGGUUGGAAUCCCUCCGGGCCGUCCA